CAGUCGCCGCGGUAACACGGAGGGGGCUAGCGUUGUUCGGAAUUACUGGGCGUAAAGCGCACGUAGGCGGCUUGGUAAGUUAGAGGUGAAAGCCUGGAGCUCAACUCCAGAAUUGCCUUUAAGACUGCCGAGCUAGCAGGUGAGAGAGGUAAGUGGAAUUCCGAGUGUAGAGGUGAAAUUCGUAGAUAUUCGGAAGAACACCAGUGGCGAAGGCGACUUACUGGCUCAUACUGGACGCUGAGGUGCGAAAGCGUGGGGAGCAAACAGGAUUAGAUACCCCAGUAGUCCCUGUCUCUUUAUA
This 301-nucleotide ribosomal RNA is filed under the name uncultured bacterium. Its description in RNAcentral is "partial 16S ribosomal RNA". It matches the Rfam family "Bacterial small subunit ribosomal RNA", at positions 509 to 809 of the family's 1533-position model. The record is from RNAcentral.